This 292-nucleotide ribosomal RNA is filed under the name uncultured bacterium. Its description in RNAcentral is "partial 16S ribosomal RNA". RNAcentral also lists the same sequence under 1 other name. The record is from RNAcentral.
GGACUACACGGGUUUCUAAUCCCGUUUGCUCCCCUGGCUUUCGCACCUCAGCGUCAGAAAUCAACCAGUGCACCGCUUUCGCCGCCGGAGUUCCUCCCGAUAUCAACGCAUUUCACCGCUCCACCGGGAAUUCCAUGCACCCCUUUGAUCCUCAAGCAACGCAGUACUGGGCGCAGUUCCUCGGUUAGGCCGAGGGAUUUCACACCCAACUUACGCCGCCGCCUACGUGCGCUUUAUGCCCAGUGAUUCCGAACAACGCUCGCCACCUUCGUCUUACCGCGGCUGCUGGCAC